CUUGCCGGGUCUGAGGGCGGCGUGGGAAGGAGGAGGGCUCCGGCAGGGUCAAAGUAACAGAAGAUGAAGGAAGAUGAAACUAGGCAGACUUUAGCAGCAGGAAAAAAAAAAAAGAAGAAGAAGAAGGAAAAAAAACAACAAAAACCCAUCGAGAGGCACAUGAGUAAAUCUUGGAUGCUGUGCAUUCUCAUUUUGAACUGGUUUGAACUGGUGUUGGUUGCUUCUGUGCAGAUAUGGAACGUGGUUAAAGUUUUAUAAUGGAAAAUCUGACAGGCAGUUAACUAAUCCAUGAGUCAUAUUUCAUGACUGCAUGCUGCCCUUUUAUACCUGCAAGAAUGAGCGCUGCACUUACUGAAACAGGGAAGUCUACUGCCUGCCUUUCCACCCCUCUCUCUCUGUGGCUGUUUACAGAACUGCAGAGUGCUUUUCAGGCUGUCAACUUCCCCUUAUCCUCCUUGUUUCCUGAUUCCCUGAGCUUGUGUAGAAACUGAUGCUGCGGCAGGGCAAGGUAAAGAACUGAAAAAUAAGUGAAGAAUUGUGACAGAAGAACAGGCGUUGCCCCAGGGACUCAUAUACUAAAACAUCUUGAAAAAAUCUUCUGAAAAACAGACCAGUUGUGAGUUGACAGUAUCCUUUUAAGAACAGUUUAUGUUGAAAGGUCCUAUGACCAAGUUUUGGCCAAGCACAAGUGUUAAUGAGUUUUUUGAAGUGAAAAGCAUUUAUAUAGACAAAAAUAGAUAGUACUGACAUGUCUCACAGUCAUUGUUUACAAUUUCUGUGUGAUCCCUUGUCCAGAUUUACAAUGAACACUUGCUGUCCCAGCAGAACUUAAAACGUUUAUGGUUUUCUCUUUAAUGCUAUAAUUAAAAACAGGAUGAUUUUCAUGGGACUAGAAUAAUAUGUAAUUCUUGUGAGAGCUCUAUCUUUUAAGCAGCCUUAUCUAAGGUAUAAUCCUCACUGACCUAAGCAUGCAGAGACAUUUUUUACACUUCCUUAUGUCUUCAUUGAGCAAUUAUACACCCUUAGGGUUAUUUCAACCUGAUAUCUUUAGAUAUCUAAUCUCUCACUAGUUCUUCACAUUUUGUGGAUGAAUGGAUGCUCCUUAUCGUGCAACAAAAAGACCAGUCUGGCGUCCCUAGGGCAGACCAUGCAUUACAGCAGAACUCAGAGAGGCGUAAUUAUAGAGGACAGGUAGAAAGUUAGCUCCUCGAAUGGGAAUUUCUUUGCACUGGAAUACUUACCUAUUUUGAUGUCUGAUGUUUAAUUAGCACUGUUCCUCUACAAAUACAUUUCUGCCAUGCGGAAACUUUUAACUUGCUUUUAAAAGUUUUGUUCUGAAAAUGGUUCAUGUAAGGUAUUUGAACCUGCUUUGUCUAGUAGUAUUAAUAACCUGGGGCAGACAGUGUUUAUAUGGUACCAAGCACCAUGAUGGCACUUAGUAAAUAAUGAAAUAAAUCACAGGCUUUGUUUCUGUUUAAACACUGUGCUUGACCUCUGUGGAUAUCUUCUGGAUCCUGCUCAACAGCCUCAUUUGGGUGCAACUGGAUAUUGUGCCAAUUUUAUUCCAGCUCCAUUAACGUAUGGCAACAAUACAGACAGUACAUCGCCUGACAAAGAACUCAUAGUCCUCCUCUGGAUUUAUGUAGCAAGAUUUUGGCAGUGGGGUGGCCUGCAAGAAGCCAGCAGCUGCCCCGUGUCAGAUCACAGCCCUUGUAGGAGCAGCCCAGGCCUGAGCUGCAGCCCAUGGAGAGCAGCCUGCAGAGGGGCAGGAGGGCUGAGGGAGCUGCCGCCUGUGGGGAACCGUGUGGAGCAGUGCCUGAAGGGUGGGCUCCAUGGUGCGGAGCUGUGUUGGAACAGUGCUGGGAGAGCUGCAGCAUGUGGAAAGCCCAUGUGGGAUCAGACCAGGAAGGAUGCCAUCCCAUGGGACGGACCCACACAGAACAGAAGCAGAGAGUGAUCAUGGAAGAGCAGAAGACAUGAAGCUUUAUGGACUGACCGCAGCCCCCUUUCCCUAUUCCCCUGUGCUCGUUGAGGGAAGGAGGUAGGAGUUGAGCCUGAGAAAAGGUGGGUGGAGGAGAGGUGUUGUCAGUCUGUUUUUAUUUCUCAUUGCCCUAUUACUAAUAGGCCAUAAAUAAAAUAAAUCUUCCCCAAGUAGCCUAUUUUGCUUGUGACAGUAAUCACUGAGUGGUCUCCCUAUCUUUCUCUCAACCGAUGAGCUUUUCCAUUGUAUUUUCUCUUUCUGAAGAGAAGUGAGAGAGCAGCUUGGUGAGCACCUAGUGAC
This 2281-nucleotide long non-coding RNA is filed under the name Gallus gallus (chicken). RNAcentral describes it as "long non-coding RNA NONGGAT000964". Lineage: Eukaryota; Metazoa; Chordata; Aves; Galliformes; Phasianidae. The record is from RNAcentral.